This 253-nucleotide ribosomal RNA is filed under the name uncultured bacterium. RNAcentral's name for it is "partial 16S ribosomal RNA". It matches the Rfam family "Bacterial small subunit ribosomal RNA", at positions 524 to 776 of the family's 1533-position model. The record is from RNAcentral.
GACGUAGGGCGCGAGCGUUGUCCGGAUUUAUUGGGCGUAAAGAGCUCGUAGGCGGCUUGUCGCGUCGAAUGUGAAAUCUCAGGGCUCAACUCUGACAUUGCAUUCGAUACGGGCAGGCUCGAGUUCGGUAGGGGAGACUGGAGUUCCUGGUGUAGCGGUGAAAUGCGCAGAUAUCAGGAGGAACACCGGUGGCGAAGGCGGGUCUCUGGGCCGAUACUGACGCUGAGGAGCGAAAGCGUGGGGAGCGAUCCGG